CAGCCGCGUAAUUCCAGCUCCAAUAGCGUAUAUUAAAGUUGUUGCAGUUAAAAAGCUCGUAGUUGAAUUUCGGGAUCAAGGGAUCGGUCAUGCCUUGGUAUGUACUGGUCUUAUUGGUUCUCACCUUCUAAAGAACCAUGAUGUCAUUCAUUUGAUGUUAUGGGGAAUUAGGACUGUUACCUUGAAAAAAUUAGAGUGUUUAAAGCAAGCUUACGCUUGAAUACAUUAGCAUGGAUUAAUGAAAUAGGACAUCAGAUUCUAUUUUGUUGGUUUCUAGGAUCGAUGUAAUGAUUAAUAGGGAUAGUUGGGGGCAUUAGUAUUCAAUUGUCAGAGGUGAAAUUCUUGGAUUUAUUGAAGACUAACUACUGCGAAAGCAUUUGCCAAGGAUGUUUUCAUUAAUCAAGAACGAAAGUUAGGGGAUCGAAGACGAUCAGAUACCGUCGUAGUCUUAACCAUAAACUAUGCCGACUAGGGAUCGGAUGAUGUUAAUUUUUUAAUGACUCAUUCGGCACCUUACG
This 518-nucleotide unclassified non-coding RNA is filed under the name uncultured Glomeromycotina. RNAcentral's name for it is "SSU rRNA". It matches the Rfam family "Eukaryotic small subunit ribosomal RNA", at positions 571 to 1092 of the family's 1831-position model. Lineage: Eukaryota; Fungi; Glomeromycota. The record is from RNAcentral.